RNAcentral lists this ribosomal RNA (497 nucleotides) under uncultured bacterium. RNAcentral's name for it is "partial 16S ribosomal RNA". It matches the Rfam family "Bacterial small subunit ribosomal RNA", at positions 28 to 507 of the family's 1533-position model. The record is from RNAcentral.
GAUGAACGCUGGCGGCGUGCCUAAUACAUGCAAGUCGAGCGAACAGAUGAGGAGCUUGCUCCUCUGACGUUAGCGGCGGACGGGUGAGUAACACGUGGAUAACAUACCUAUAAGACUGGGAUAACUUCGGGAAACCGGAGCUAAUACCGGAUAAUAUAUUGAACCGCAUGGUUCAAUAGUGAAAGACGGUUUUGCUGUCACUUAUAGAUGGAUCCGCGCCGCAUUAGCUAGUUGGUAAGGUAACGGCUUACCAAGGCAACGAUGCGUAGCCGACCUGAGAGGAUGAUCGGCCACACUGGAACUGAGACACGGUCCAGACUCCUACGGGAGGCAGCAGUAGGGAAUCUUCCGCAAUGGGCGAAAGCCUGACGGAGCAACGCCGCGUGAGUGAUGAAGGUCUUCGGAUCGUAAAACUCUGUUAUUAGGGAAGAACAAAUGUGUAAGUAACUAUGCACGUCUUGACGGUACCUAAUCAGAAAGCCACGGCUAACUACGUG